This 253-nucleotide ribosomal RNA is filed under the name uncultured bacterium. RNAcentral's name for it is "partial 16S ribosomal RNA". It matches the Rfam family "Bacterial small subunit ribosomal RNA", at positions 524 to 776 of the family's 1533-position model. The record is from RNAcentral.
UACGUAGGGGGCUAGCGUUGUCCGGAUUUAUUGGGCGUAAAGAGCGUGUAGGCGGCCUGGUAGGUCUGCUGUGAAAACUGGAGGCUCAACCUCGAGAUGUCGGCGGAAACCAUCUGGCUAGAGUCCGGAAGAGGAGAGUGGAAUUCCUGGUGUAGCGGUGAAAUGCGCAGAUAUCAGGAAGAACACCUAUGGCGAAGGCAGCUCUCUGGGACGGUACUGACGCUGAGACGCGAAAGCGUGGGGAGCGAACAGG